This 253-nucleotide ribosomal RNA is filed under the name uncultured Eubacteriales bacterium. Its description in RNAcentral is "uncultured Clostridiales bacterium partial 16S ribosomal RNA". It matches the Rfam family "Bacterial small subunit ribosomal RNA", at positions 524 to 776 of the family's 1533-position model. Lineage: Bacteria; Bacillati; Bacillota; Clostridia; Eubacteriales. The record is from RNAcentral.
UACGGAGGAUUCAAGCGUUAUCCGGAUUUACUGGGUGUAAAGGGAGCGUAGACGGCAGCACAAGUCUGGAGUGAAAUCCCAUGGCUUAACCAUGGAACUGCUUUGGAAACUGUGAAGCUGGAGUGCGGGAGGGGCAGGCGGAAUUCCUGGUGUAGCGGUGAAAUGCGUAGAUAUCAGGAGGAACACCGGCGGCGAAGGCGGCCUGCUGGACCGUAACUGACGUUGAGGCUCGAAAGCGUGGGGAGCAAAAAGG